Molecule: ribosomal RNA, 253 nt
Filed under: uncultured bacterium
Lineage: Bacteria
Description: partial 16S ribosomal RNA
Rfam family: Bacterial small subunit ribosomal RNA
Source: RNAcentral
UACGUACCGUCCAAACGUUAUUCGGAUUUACUGGGCUUAAAGGGUGCGUAGGCGGCUCAGAAAGUAGGGUGUGAAAGCCCUCGGCUUAACCGAGGAAUUGCGCUCUAAACUACUGGGCUUGAGGAACGCAGAGGUAAGCGGAACUUACGGUGGAGCGGUGAAAUGCGUUGAUAUCGUAAGGAACACCAGGAGCGAAAGCGGCUUACUGGGCGUUUUCUGACGCUGAGGCACGAAAGCUAGGGGAGCGAACGGG